GGCUGAGAGCAGGGGGAGCCAUCUCCCUGUGUGUGGGACACUGCCUGCUGGGUGUUCCGUUCCAGCCCCUCUAGAAUGCAUGCUUGAAUGGCCAGUGAGGCUGGGGGAGGGACCGAGAGGGAGCCCUCACCCCCAGCAGCACAGAGCAGGAGCUGGACGGUGGGGCUGGGGGUGAGGCCAGCUGAGAGGGGUCAGGUCCUGCCACGGGAGGGGGACUUUUAAAGUUCCUCCAUGGCCCUGGAACCCUGGAGCCUCAGGAGUGGCAGGGGAGCUUCUCCGGACCUGCCUCUUCUGGACAUUUCGUAUAAAUGGAAUCGUGUAAUAUGUGGCCUUUCGAGCUGGGCUUCCUUCACUCAACGUCAUGUUUCCAAGAUCCAUCCCCAUUGAAGCUGGUGUCGGAGCCUCACUGCUUUCUGCGGGUGGGCUGGACCUGGUGACUUGCUUCUACCUGAUAGAAUACAGCAAGAGUGAUGAGAUGUCACUUCCGAGAUUAGGUUGGACGGAUGGUGACUUCCAGCUUGUUAGUCUUCUCUCGGGCUCUUCUUGUUUGCUUGCUCUGGUGAAGCCAGCCACCAUAUGUAGAGACGGGGCUUCACCAUGUUGGCCAGGAUGGUCUCGAUCUCCUGACCUCGUGAUCCACCUGCCUCGGUCUCCCAAAGGGCUGGGAUUACAGGCGUCUUGCUGCAUCUCGAAGCGUCUUCAGCGUGCUCUUGCUUGCUGGCUCUGAUGAUGGAGGUGUUCAAGCCAUCGUGGAAGGAAUGCAGUGGCCUCUAGGAGUGAGAAUGACACCAGCCAACAUCCAGCAAGAAGACGUGGACUUCAGUCCUAGGCCCAUGGAGACAAUUCUGUUAACAUCCUGGAUGAGCCUGGAAGUGGGCUUUCCCCAGAGUCUGCAGAUAAGAGCCCACGGCAGCUGACAUUUUGACUCUAGCCUCGUGAGGCCCUGAGACAGGAGGUUUCCUGCCCCGCAGGACUGAAAGAUGAUGAAUGGGAGUUAUUUUAUAUUUUCAGAUUGUGGUAAUUAGUCACUGUAGCAAUAGAAAACGAAUACAAGGUCUUUAUGCAUUAAUGUUGAAAACACUUUUUAU
RNAcentral lists this long non-coding RNA (1088 nucleotides) under Homo sapiens (human). The record is from RNAcentral. Lineage: Eukaryota; Metazoa; Chordata; Mammalia; Primates; Hominidae.